Small nucleolar RNA from Lactuca sativa (garden lettuce), 87 nucleotides. RefSeq annotates it as small nucleolar RNA snR60/Z15/Z230/Z193/J17. NCBI's taxonomy places the organism in Eukaryota, Viridiplantae, Streptophyta, Magnoliopsida, Asterales, Asteraceae. The record is from RefSeq and is a predicted model, not a curated record.
GAGGUUCAAGUGAUGAUUUUGCAUAGUUCAAAUGAUACUCUGUGAUUAAACAUCUUUUUAGUCUUUCGCUCCUAUCUGAUGAACCCU